UGGUGCAUGGUUGUCGUCAGCUCGUGUCGUGAGAUGUUGGGUUAAGUCCCGCAACGAGCGCAACCCUCGACCUUAGUUGCCAGCAUUCAGUUGGGCACUCUAAGGUGACUGCCGGCUAAAAGUCGGAGGAAGGUGGGGAUGACGUCAAAUCAUCAUGCCCCUUAUGACCUGGGCUACACACGUGCUACAAUGGGCGGUACAAAGGGUCGCGAACCCGCAAGGUGGAGCGAAUCCCAUAAAGCCGGUCUCAGUUCGGAUCGUGGGCUGCAACCCGCCCACGUGAAGCCGGAGUUGCUAGUAAUCGCGAAUCAGCAUGUCGCGGUGAAUGCGUUCCCGGGUCUU
Molecule: ribosomal RNA, 342 nt
Filed under: uncultured Anoxybacillus sp.
Lineage: Bacteria; Bacillati; Bacillota; Bacilli; Caryophanales; Anoxybacillaceae
Description: bacterial SSU rRNA
Rfam family: Bacterial small subunit ribosomal RNA
Source: RNAcentral